RNAcentral lists this ribosomal RNA (535 nucleotides) under Microbacterium arthrosphaerae. Its description in RNAcentral is "bacterial SSU rRNA". It matches the Rfam family "Bacterial small subunit ribosomal RNA", at positions 373 to 918 of the family's 1533-position model. Lineage: Bacteria; Bacillati; Actinomycetota; Actinomycetes; Micrococcales; Microbacteriaceae. The record is from RNAcentral.
GGGCGGAAGCCUGAUGCAGCAACGCCGCGUGAGGGAUGACGGCCUUCGGGUUGUAAACCUCUUUUAGCAAGGAAGAAGCGUGAGUGACGGUACUUGCAGAAAAAGCGCCGGCUAACUACGUGCCAGCAGCCGCGGUAAUACGUAGGGCGCAAGCGUUAUCCGGAAUUAUUGGGCGUAAAGAGCUCGUAGGCGGUUUGUCGCGUCUGCUGUGAAAUCCCGAGGCUCAACCUCGGGCCUGCAGUGGGUACGGGCAGACUAGAGUGCGGUAGGGGAGAUUGGAAUUCCUGGUGUAGCGGUGGAAUGCGCAGAUAUCAGGAGGAACACCGAUGGCGAAGGCAGAUCUCUGGGCCGUAACUGACGCUGAGGAGCGAAAGGGUGGGGAGCAAACAGGCUUAGAUACCCUGGUAGUCCACCCCGUAAACGUUGGGAACUAGUUGUGGGGUCCUUUCCACGGAUUCCGUGACGCAGCUAACGCAUUAAGUUCCCCGCCUGGGGAGUACGGCCGCAAGGCUAAAACUCAAAGGAAUUGACGGGG